GGCAGGCUAAUAGGUCCUUUAAUUCAACCUUUGCCUUAGCAAUGCAGUGUGCUUUUACAAACCCUCCACCUUCCCCAGCUCCACCUGUAUAGAUCUGCUACAGGUAAUUCAUGUAAGCAAUAUUGUACAGCAGCAGCAUGUCUUACAUGCUCACAGCAGUGUGUUGUGUAUGUGUUAGCAGUAGCAAGUCCCGUACUUACUCUGCAGCAGCAGCAGCAGCAAUAACCUACAGCGGCAGCAAUAAAAGCAGCAGCAGCAUAGCAGUUACUUCAUAGUUAUUUUUCUUGAACAUUAAUCAGUAGAUAAUUAAUAGUAGUUCUUCAGAAUUCAUUAGUUAUUGAUUAGCUAACUGUUACUUAACAAAAUCAUAAAAUUCUAUUACAUACUGAUUAGUUAACACAUCUUCCUUAGUAGUUAACAGUAGUGACUUAAGUGUUAAUGAAGAAUUACCUAUUAGUUCUUCAGUAAUUCCUUAUUAGUUAUGCAGUAAGUAAGAAACAGUAUUCUAAAGUGUUACCCAAAUGUCUUAUUCGGAUAAAAGUGUCUGCUAAAUUAAUAAAUGUACUUAUAAUCUGUGAGAAAUAUGUUUUAUCAUUCUAUAAAUCUAAGAUAUGAUGUUGAGCACUGCAUGUUUUCACUUUAUUCUUUUAAUGAUUUCCUGCAGAUGUACGAAAAAAUAUUUAAGAUUGAGGGGAAUCAAAGGUACAACCUUAAAAAACUAUCACAAAAAAAAAAAAAAUUCAACCACUUAUCUGAAUAUUAAGGGACACGUUCCUCUCACAUUAUAAUAUUUUUUCAAUUAACACAGAUUAUUUAAGUUAAAAAUGGAGCAAAGGUAUACUUAAAAUCCAUUGAAUGGAAGCAGAUUAGUGCCACCUGGUGGAAAAAAUAAAGAAAAUCAUCUGUAAUACUAUGGUAUAGCCACUAGAUGCCUGUAUGGGCUAUUUAUUCCCUAGUAACUGUGAACAGUGUUUUCGCUUUUAUUAGGUUUUGCAUUUGGAUAUAUAUUUAGAGGUGAUCAAAGACUAGUUUUUGCCAACAUCUGCAUUAUGAUAACAGUCAAACCAGAAGAGAGAGAAAGGUUUUUUGUUACCCAUAACCUAAUUUGAACAUCAAAAUUAAAUAAAAAUGUACCAAAAAUGACAGGAAUGCUUGAUUCUCAGGAAUGCUUGACAGUCUCAAACUGUGUGUGUGUGUGUGUGUGUGUGUGUGUGUGUGUGUGUGUGUGUGUCUGUUUCGGAUGUUUUAGAGUUUAACCCCUUCACUGCUGUGCUUUUUUCUGCAUUAUGGGUGCAUUAUUAAAUUUAUUUCACAAAUUCUCAAACCUAUGCUCUGUUACACUCGUAACAUAGGUGUGUGUAUGCGAGAGUAGGUGUGUCUGUUUUGCAAUCUUGAUAUUUUAGAGUUGCACGCCUUCACUGCUGUGUGCUUUUUUUCUGCAUUGUGGCUUAUUUGUAGAUUGUACACAAUUUUGUUUGUGUGAACACAUAGCAAAGGCCGCAAAAGUCACCAAGUUUUGUACCAUUGCGAGGAAGAUACGAUUUUUAAAAAUGUAUAAUACUUAUUUUUUUCGGUCUAAAAUGACCGAACAAAACCAGAGGGUUCAGUAAACUGAACAAGUUGCAUUUUUUGUUUUUGUUUAUGAACUUCUGUUCAUCACUAUAUACACAAAUAAAAACCUGUACAACAACUGUAGUGGGUGAUACUAUAUAGAAUAGAUCCUUUCAUUAGUUCAGUGACAUUCAAACAUCCAUUGUUGUCAUGUCAUAAAAUGAGGCAGUCGGUCCCAGUGAUCUAGUGCUUUUUAUUGAUUCCAGACAUUUACUUUUACAUUAAAGAAUAGAUAGACUCACUACAGAUAAACCCUUUAUCUCACUGCAAGAGUCCUGGAGGAUCAGUCUUUCCACUGGUGCUGAAAUCUUUCUGCUUGUAGUUCCGUCAGAAGUGUCAGAAACAUGAUGAGAACUCUGAAUGAAUUAUCUGAUCUGAGAGAGUCCAGGUUUGGUCAGCCGCCUCCCAGACACGGUCUGAACUUGCUGUGGUGGUUUGCUCAUGAAUGUGUUCAUGAAUGUGUUUGCUCAUGAAUGUGUUCAGAUCGACUCCAAUGGUCGUAUGAUUGCUCAGUGCAACCCUGCAAGUCAAGAUUUUGGCUUUUGUCUAUUCCAUAAUAGGGAGAGACUUCUUCCUUUCUCUAAUCUCCUAUACUAUGAGGUGGGAAACCUGAACACCACUGGCCCUCUGCCUGAAUAUGUCACUGAGGAUUACACUGGAUAUUUAGAUGACAGCAACAAAGAUCGCAUCAUUGUUUCCUUUGACUCAGGGUUGAAGAGAUUUGACAGCAUUUAUGUGACACAGCACUCAGAUGAGGAGAUCAGAAAUUUUGACCAGAAUCGCACUUACUGCAUUAGCAUUGAUCUUAUAAAGACCAUUAAAGAGUUGAACCGUGAAGAGUUCCUCAGAAAAACCUUGAAUGAUUCUAAACUUUUUUACAUUCAUACAUCUCAGUCAAUGCAGACUGAACGCUUUCAGCGUCAAAGGUUAUAUCAAUCCACUAAUGUCUGUGCAAAAUGUUGUGCUGUGCUGAUGUGUGUCAUUGUGCUGUUGCUCAUUAUUAUUGUCUUGUUUUAAAACAUGAAAAUAUAGUUUUUAUCCACUGGUGGUUUUGUUUUUGUUUGUUUUGUGCUAAUUUUGCAUUUGGGUGUUGCAGCUUGUCUCCAAUUGGAUAUAAGUUUAAUAGAUGUAUAAUAUUAUUGAAUGUUUUUUAGUUAUUAGACAGUCAUGAGGUUCAAGACUUCUGAGAUGGGAAUAUACGCACAUGCAUAUAAAUGAUCAAUAUUUACUGAUACGUUUAUGUUAUAAUACUCAAUCAAACAUAUUUAAUAGGUCUCCAUCUCACAACAUGCUUUAAAAUACAUGUAUGUUACAUGUUCCUUAUAUCUGUAUAAUUUGUAAACCAAUUGGGAUUAUGGAAAAUGUUGAAUUUCCAUAGUGCAUAGUGUGUUUGCUCAUAUUAUCUUAGACACACGCCCACUGCUGUCUGUCUGCUUCAGUUUCUGUUUCCUACAUAGUCAGCUGACCUCUCCCUAAUGGAAGCUUGUUUCAGCCACUGCCAGGGAAUAAAAAAAAGAAGCAAUUGCAA
This is a long non-coding RNA of Ctenopharyngodon idella (grass carp), 3139 nucleotides long. RefSeq lists it as uncharacterized. Lineage: Eukaryota; Metazoa; Chordata; Actinopteri; Cypriniformes; Xenocyprididae. The transcript has 2 exons. The record is from RefSeq and is a predicted model, not a curated record.